Molecule: ribosomal RNA, 476 nt
Filed under: uncultured organism
Description: partial 16S ribosomal RNA
Rfam family: Bacterial small subunit ribosomal RNA
Source: RNAcentral
ACACUCCUGCGGGAGGCAGCAGUGGGGAAUUUUGGACAAUGGGCGAAAGCCUGAUCCAGCAAUGCCGCGUGUGUGAAGAAGGCCUUCGGGUUGUAAAGCACUUUUGUCCGGAAAGAAAUCCUUGGCUCUAAUACAGUCGGGGGAUGACGGUACCGGAAGAAUAAGCACCGGCUAACUACGUGCCAGCAGCCGCGGUAAUACGUAGGGUGCGAGCGUUAAUCGGAAUUACUGGGCGUAAAGCGUGCGCAGGCGGUUUGCUAAGACCGAUGUGAAAUCCCCGGGCUCAACCUGGGAACUGCAUUGGUGACUGGCAGGCUAGAGUAUGGCAGAGGGGGGUAGAAUUCCACGUGUAGCAGUGAAAUGCGUAGAGAUGUGGAGGAAUACCGAUGGCGAAGGCAGCCCCCUGGGCCAAUACUGACGCUCAUGCACGAAAGCGUGGGGAGCAAACAGGAUUAGAAACCCGGGUAGUCCCAUGA